RNAcentral lists this ribosomal RNA (440 nucleotides) under uncultured bacterium. Its description in RNAcentral is "partial 16S ribosomal RNA". It matches the Rfam family "Bacterial small subunit ribosomal RNA", at positions 338 to 795 of the family's 1533-position model. The record is from RNAcentral.
CCUACGGGUGGCUGCGGUGGGGAAUAUUGCACAAUGGGGGAAACCCUGAUGCAGCAACGCCGCGUGAGUGAAGACGUAUUUCGGUAUGUAAAGCUCUAUCAGCAGGGAAGAAAAUGACAGUACCUGACUAAGAAGCCCCGGCUAACUACGUGCCAGCAGCCGCGGUUAUACGUAGGGGGCAAGCGUUAUCCGGAUUUACUGGGUGUAAAGGGAGCGUAGACGGCUUAGCAAGUCAGAAGUGAAAGACCGGGGCUCAACCGCGGGAGUGCGUUUGACACUGUGUGGCUGGAGUGCAGGAGAGGUAAGUGGAAUUCCUAGUGUAGCGGUGAAAUGCGUAGAUAUUAGGAGGAACACCGGUGGCGAAGGCAGCUUACUGGACUGUAACUGACGUUGAGGCUCGAAAGCGUGGGGAGCAAACAGGAUUAGAUACCCUUGUAGUC